Molecule: ribosomal RNA, 463 nt
Filed under: uncultured bacterium
Lineage: Bacteria
Description: partial 16S ribosomal RNA
Rfam family: Bacterial small subunit ribosomal RNA
Source: RNAcentral
UGGGGAAUUUGGACAAUGGGCGAAAGCCUGAUCCAGCAAUGCCGCGUGUGUGAAGAAGGCCUUCGGGUUGUAAAGCACUUUUGUCCGGAAAGAAAUCCUUGGCUCUAAUACAGUCGGGGGAUGACGGUACCGGAAGAAUAAGCACCGGCUAACUACGUGCCAGCAGCCGCGGUAAUACGUAGGGUGCAAGCGUUAAUCGGAAUUACUGGGCGUAAAGCGUGCGCAGGCGGUUUGCUAAGACCGAUGUGAAAUCCCCGGGCUCAACCUGGGAACUGCAUUGGUGACUGGCAGGCUAGAGUAUGGCAGAGGGGGGUAGAAUUCCACGUGUAGCAGUGAAAUGCGUAGAGAUGUGGAGGAAUACCGAUGGCGAAGGCAGCCCCCUGGGCCAAUACUGACGCUCAUGCACGAAAGCGUGGGGAGCAAACAGGAUUAGAUACCCUGGUAGUCCACGCCCUAAACGAUG